RNAcentral lists this ribosomal RNA (408 nucleotides) under uncultured bacterium. RNAcentral describes it as "bacterial SSU rRNA". It matches the Rfam family "Bacterial small subunit ribosomal RNA", at positions 509 to 913 of the family's 1533-position model. The record is from RNAcentral.
CAGCAGCCGCGGUAAUACGUAGGUGGCAAGCGUUGUCCGGAUUUACUGGGCGUAAAGAGCGCGCAGGCGGCUGGUCAAGUCCGAUGUGAAAUCUCCGGCUUAACUGAGAAACUGCAUUUCGAUACUGAUCGACUGGAAGGAGGCAGAGGAUAAACGGAAUUCCUGGUGUAGUGGUGAAAUGCGCAGAUAUCAGGAGGAACACCGGUGGCGAAGGCGACUACUCUGGCCCAUUCUUGACGCUGAGGCGCGAAAGCUAGGGGAGCGAACGGGAUUAGAUACCCUGGUAGUCCUAACCGUAAACGAUGAACACUAGGCGUAGUCUCCAUCCACCCCGGCUGUGCCGUAGCUAACGCAUUAAGUGUUCCGCCUGGGGAGUACGGCCGCAAGGCUAAAACUCAAAGGAAUUGA